GUUAUUGGUGAUGGAAGAUGUGCCACCCUCCCAGGCUCCUGAGCCUGUGAAGGGAUCAGACAUGGAUUAUUGAUUUAAACAGAUGAAGACAGGAGCAUGUUGAGUGAUUUUUGGGUAGUCGGUAUGAGUAUUUUUAUUCACAUUUUAUUUGAUUCCGCACAGUUGGCGGCGACAAUACACCCCUUUGCGUGUAGUUCGACAUGAAACCCAAAGAAGAAGUGUAAACGGAAAUUAACAGCGACCAAGAACAAUUUCCACGUUCGAGUUUUUGUUGAUAUUUAUAUGUUUAUUAACACCAUGGAACUCAAAAUAUGAGUAAUUUAACUGCACAACAUCACAUACUUACAGCACUUGGCUGACAGAUGUUAUCAAGGUAACGCUAACAAUGGCUAACAGUAUGGUUUUUCACACUCAAAUAGCCUCCAUUAUGGAGGUGCUAGCAAAUGCAGCCAUGGCAGAGGUCUGUAAACUCGUAGAUGACGACUAUGCAGUGUUUCGUUUGGAAAUAACUCAAAGCCAGAAAGAAAACAGGGCAUUGCGGAGGAGACUACAGCUACUGGAACUGAGGGGAGCGCGUCCUCGCCAGUCGUCCCAGUAGUGUCAAGAUCCUCGAACGAUACAGAGGAAAGGCAAGAGGUGAAGGGCUGGAGGCCACAGGAGUUGUGUGAAGCCAGCGGGACACAAUACAUGGAGAGAUGACCAACCAAUCACAGUCGAUGAGGGGAGUGGAACCUCAACCCAGCAUGUUAUCAUAAUAGAGUCUUCAGAUGCAGAGGCUGAACAUCAUGGGGUCAAGCAGGAAAGGACUGAAGGAGAGGAGGACCUACAGCAAAGCAGAGACAUCCAGACGGGAGCUCCCCCUGUAGCCACGGAGGACACCGGUAGAUGAGGUGACUGUGAAAGUGGAGGGCGACGCUCCUCCCACAGUGAAUGCAGAUAGUCACCUAGGAGACAGACACUCACAGGGCAGAGAUUUCUUAGAAUACAGGGAAAGCUUAGAGACAAAUCCAAACGCUGUCACCCACUCCACUUUCCACCCGUUCUGGGAUCGCGACCCAGUGUCCAUGUCAAUGGGGCCUUCCGAUUCACACGACUGCACCCUUUUGGAUCAGGCAUUGAACUCAAACGACAGGGCUAGAGCCCAGGCCCGGGGAGGGGAAGUAACAUCAGGCAAAAAACAGGGGGUGAAACUCUUUAGCUGUACCCAGUGUCAUAUAUGCGCUUCGCCCAGGAUGGAAACCUGAAGAGGCACCAGAGGGUACACACAGGGGAGAAACCUUACAGUUGUUCCCAGUGUCGCAUGCGCUUCGCCCAGGCUGGUGACCUAAAGAGGCACCAGAGGGUCCACACAGGAGAUAAACCCCACAGCUGCCCCAAGUGUGAGAAGAGAUUCUCCCACCAGCACCAUCUGAAGAUGCACCUGAAGAUCCACACUGAAGUGAGGCCGUUUGCCUGUACGCACUGCGGGAAAAGGUUCUCAGAGAGGAGCUACCUCAGGAUACACCAGGAGAAAAACCAUUCCACUCUAUAACAUAGAAAGUAACCAUUCGAAUCGAUAGCUUCUGACGUUUACAUCAAACCCUGCAUUAAAGACAAAGAUUAACUUUCAUUGUUGUCAGCAGAAAAGAUCCACAGAUGCAUUUGGAAUAAUGAGAGCCACAGAUUUCAGUGUUGAAUAUUCCUGGGUAGAAUAUUGCAUUCAGGCAUUGUGCCUAAAAAGUCUGUUACAUAUUGUGUUUGUACUGUACUGUGUAGGCCAGUGGUCACCAACCUAUUCUGAGUCAAGUUCAUUUUCACUGAUCUCUCGCUCAAAUUUUUUUGAAACAUUACUUAACAGUUCUGUAAGAAUGAGGUUUGUGCAGUAGGCCUAAUACAUUAGCACAGCAUAUUGAGUAUAUGCCUGGCCUGCCAAUAUUGGCCUUCUCAGACCAUAUUUCAAAACUCAAGCUUUGAUUACAAAAUAGAUCAGUUGGUGUAGCAAAUUGCUGAGCAUAAAUUGAAAUGAUUUGUUUAUUUUAUUUUACUGGACUGAUUGUCAUGGUGAUUUCAAUACAAAUGGGAACUCGGUAAAAAAGGUGGUCAAAUCAGGAUGUCAGUGAUUUUCAGGUUGGAAAGUCAGAGGUCUAGAUAGAUGCCAGAGUUUCUGACUUGGAAUUCAUGACCGCUCCAAAAAAAAAAAUCCAGUUGGAUCUCAAUAGUUCCCAGUUGUUUUGAACACAGCAUUAGUCUCAGUGGAGGGCGAGAACAGCAUAGGUUCCACUUCUCACAGUCACUGCUGUAAUGAGUGUGCUGAGUCAAGAAGCAAGUUCAGGGAGUGAGUGUUGGAAAUCUUCCUCUGCUUUUCAAAUAUGAACUCAGAACAGGAAUAGCUUCUACCAAUCAAAGGUUAGAGAGCUAUUUUAGUAACCACAUCAACUGCUUUCAUUGAGCUAACUUCCCACUUAUGUAACUUCGUUGGUGAUGUUUCCCUGGUUACCAUAGCAACAUCUGAUCUCACUUUGCAUUGAUAGCCCUGCUUACUCGGUCUGUUAGAAGUGCCACAAUUAUCGUUUUCUACAGGUAAGAUGUCACAAAAUCAUUUAGACCAGUACACACACACUUCUUCCACAAGAAUCUGCUGUCCAGAUCGACUAGCCCAUCUUGACAUUGUUUCAUGAGAGAGGGUAUGUACAGUUGAUACAAGCUGCUACCACAAAAAAAGAAUACCCUGCUGGAUCCAGUGUUCAUUUCUCAACCCCAAAGUUGCUUCCAGUCAGAUGUGCUGCAGAGAUACUAAAGUUAUCACAACCCAGUGUAUUGCAUUUUUACUUCAGACAUCUCCCAGGUAUGAAUCUUGACCAAAACAUUGGUAUCACAUUCACUGCUUGCAUUAGUUCUGUCUUCAUGUUAGGAUAAAAAACAAAAGUCCAAAUAAAAUGAAUGAUCUA
This is a long non-coding RNA of Oncorhynchus kisutch (coho salmon), 2927 nucleotides long. RefSeq lists it as uncharacterized. The record is from RefSeq and is a predicted model, not a curated record. Lineage: Eukaryota; Metazoa; Chordata; Actinopteri; Salmoniformes; Salmonidae. The transcript has 3 exons.